UGGGGAAUAUUGCACAAUGGGCGCAAGCCUGAUGCAGCCAUGCCGCGUGUGUGAAGAAGGCCUUCGAGUUGUAAAGCACUUUCAGCGAGGAGGAAGGUGGUGAACUUAAUACGUUCAUCAAUUGACGUUACUCGCAGAAGAAGCACCGGCUAACUCCGUGCCAGCAGCCGCGGUAAUACGGAGGGUGCAAGCGUUAAUCGGAAUUACUGGGCGUAAAGCGCACGCAGGCGGUUUGUUAAGUCAGAUGUGAAAUCCCCGGGCUCAACCUGGGAACUGCAUUUGAAACUGGCAAGCUAGAGUCUCGUAGAGGAGGGUAGAAUUCCAGGUGUAGCGGUGAAAUGCGUAGAGAUCUGGAGGAAUACCGGUGGCGAAGGCGGCCCCCCUGGACGAAGACUGACGCUCAGGUGCGAAAA
This 413-nucleotide ribosomal RNA is filed under the name uncultured bacterium. RNAcentral's name for it is "partial 16S ribosomal RNA". It matches the Rfam family "Bacterial small subunit ribosomal RNA", at positions 355 to 759 of the family's 1533-position model. The record is from RNAcentral.